Molecule: ribosomal RNA, 620 nt
Filed under: Tephrosia nubica
Lineage: Eukaryota; Viridiplantae; Streptophyta; Magnoliopsida; Fabales; Fabaceae
Description: eukaryotic LSU rRNA
Rfam family: 5.8S ribosomal RNA (bases 235-390)
Source: RNAcentral
GCAGAUCGAUCUUAUCAAUUGACCCGUGAACUUGUUAACCACAUAGUGUUAGCCUGGGUCUUUACGGCUUUGGCUUCACUUUGGUAAGGAUGGUUCAUGCCUCGUGUGAACUUAUCUUGCCAAUAUACAAACCCCGGCGCAUUGUGCGCCAAGGAACAUGAAACUGUUGAUGAUGUGCUCAUGGACCCGGAGACGGUGUCUUUCUGAGUGGCAUUGUGACACAUAAUACUAAAUGACUCUCGGCAACGGAUAUCUCGGCUCUUGCAUCGAUGAAGAACGUAGCGAAAUGCGAUACUUGGUGUGAAUUGCAGAAUCCCGUGAACCAUCGAGUCUUUGAACGCAAGUUGCGCCCCAAGCCAUUAGGUUGAGGGCACGCCUGCCUGGGUGUCACAAAUCGUUACCCCAAUGCAAUAUCUUAACUUAGGGUAUUGGAAGGGUGUAAGUUGACCUCCCGCAUGCAUCGUCUUGUGGUUGGUUGAAAAUUGAGUCCUUUGUGGAGAGCCCCAUGAUAAAUGGUGGUUGAGUAACCCUCGAGACCAAUCAUGUGCGGCUCUUUACUCAUGGCUCAGGUGACCCUUGUGUUCUUUAGAACGCUCACAACGAGACCUCAGGUCAGACGG